This is a long non-coding RNA of Bos taurus (domestic cattle), 1110 nucleotides long. The record is from Ensembl. Lineage: Eukaryota; Metazoa; Chordata; Mammalia; Artiodactyla; Bovidae.
GGUGAAUCAUUUUCUGGAAAAAAAAAAAAAAAAAAAAUCCAGAAUCAACCACUAGAUGUCAGUGUUGGACAAGCACAGAGAGAUUGGCAGCGCCUCCCGCAUUAGCGUCUGGCUCCAUUUCAGCUAUCAAGUUUCUCUGCAAAGGAGAGGGAGUUUGUGUAACUGAAGCAAAGAUUUUGCUUUCUCACUUCUCGCCCCGUCUUGCGGAAAACAGCCUGAUGCUCUGGAUCAGCCUUCCUGGCCUACCUUUGUGUAAAAUUAAUCAAAUCUAACAAGGAAAUACUGCUCUUGUGGACCCAGGUUCCAAAAACCCUUGAAUGAGGGUCUUUAUUUAUUUUUUGCUACAGUGACACUUGCUCUGAUUUCAGAUCAUUUUCUAAAAAUGGCAGCUACUUGGUGUGUCAUUUUUAAAAGAAAACGUGGUCACAUUAUAGCUGUGCUAAACAGCCUCUUUCAGUCCUCUUUCAUUUUACACUUUUACUGGGAGGUUUGAAAAGAGGCAAUGUAAUUAGGUUCCAGUUGUCUCUGUUGAGCUCAGAGAUGCUCACCUUUCCUUGGGGGAAGAUGAAUUCCUGUUAUGUUGGUUUCUUAUCACAACUUGGAUUAUGGAGGAAAUCUGUGGCGAAUUCAGACUAAAGCUAGUGAUAAAAUCAACUCAGCUCUUUGAAAAGGCCACCUGCUCUGGGGUUUUGGAAUUCAGAUUUUCGGGGCUACCCCUCUUGAACAAUUUUCAAGGGUAGAGUUUCAGUUUCUUGCCCUUUAUAGAAGGCCAGCUCAGACACAUUUAGAAAACGUUUUGUGGAGUAAUUUGGAAUUGACACAUCCCUUCAUUGGUUUACCUUAAUCCCUUUUGCCCUCCAGUUGGCCAACAGGAAGAAAUGGUUUAGUGACACAAAGUCAAACGUGGCUUUCGUGUGUGGCCACACUUCCUGGAGACCAGUGGAGGGGGCUGGAGGUGACAGCGCCUCGUGGUGUGGAACAGGGCCCUGCUGCAGCACCCUGCGUGGCUGCUGGCCAGGAACUGGCCGUGUCCUGGGGAAUGAGUCAUCAGGCACAAGCAGCUUGCUCUUGGAGGCAGGCCCAGCGUUGGUUUCAAGGUCCUCUUGGAUC